RNAcentral lists this ribosomal RNA (467 nucleotides) under uncultured bacterium. RNAcentral's name for it is "partial 16S ribosomal RNA". It matches the Rfam family "Bacterial small subunit ribosomal RNA", at positions 28 to 506 of the family's 1533-position model. The record is from RNAcentral.
GACGAACGCUGGCGGCGUGCUUAACACAUGCAAGUCGAACGGAAAGGCCCUGCUUUUGUGGGGUGCUCGAGUGGCGAACGGGUGAGUAACACGUGAGUAACCUGCCCUUGACUUUGGGAUAACUUCAGGAAACUGGGGCUAAUACCGGAUAGGGGCUCCUGCUGCAUGGUGGGGGUUGGAAAGUUUCGGCGGUUGGGGAUGGACUCGCGGCUUAUCAGCUUGUUGGUGGGGUAGUGGCUUACCAAGGCUUUGACGGGUAGCCGGCCUGAGAGGGUGACCGGCCACAUUGGGACUGAGAUACGGCCCAGACUCCUACGGGAGGCAGCAGUGGGGAAUAUUGCACAAUGGGCGGAAGCCUGAUGCAGCAACGCCGCGUGCGGGAUGACGGCCUUCGGGUUGUAAACCGCUUUCGCCUGUGACGAAGCGUGAGUGACGGUAAUGGGGAAAGAAGCACCGGCUAACUACGU